UUUUCUCCGGGAGAUGGCAUUCCUCCCGCCUGUUGGCUGCUUCCUGCCCGGAAGUCGCUGCAGCGAACCGCCCGUCCGGGCUGAUGAUGCCUGCAGGUAU
Molecule: non-coding RNA, 100 nt
Filed under: Aquitalea magnusonii
Lineage: Bacteria; Pseudomonadati; Pseudomonadota; Betaproteobacteria; Neisseriales; Chromobacteriaceae
Description: Fluoride sequence
Rfam family: Fluoride riboswitch aptamer (crcB RNA motif)
Source: RNAcentral